Pseudoliparis swirei is the source of this 2866-nucleotide long non-coding RNA. RefSeq lists it as uncharacterized. Lineage: Eukaryota; Metazoa; Chordata; Actinopteri; Perciformes; Liparidae. The transcript is spliced from 3 exons. The record is from RefSeq and is a predicted model, not a curated record.
GCUCAUGUUGUCCCACAUCACGUCCAGAGGCGAGUAUAUUCCGAGCAUCCCUCCCGUGGAGUUCAUUACACAAGCUGACAACAUCCAUUGGACUCCCACUACAGCACAGGUAAGGCGACGCAGGAGGCUGAGCUCCCAGGUGGAGCCGGGACACGAGGAUAGAGCGCUUUGAAUGUUUGAUUUACCCUUCCUGCCAUUAAAUGUUGAUAACUUAACCCACGCGCGUCUGGAAGCCUGUUUUCCACCAUCUGCAGAGUGCCCAGUUUCAGAAUACUCAACAAUUGGCGACCACGAAGGCGAAACUGAGAUGGCCGCCAGAGACACGGGACUUCGGACGCGGUGAGUAGCGCGCUAAGGGAUCGAACUAUUUAUGCCGUCAGAACACGACGGGGCACAAGCCCGCCGUAGAGUUUAACAAACAAUCGACGCUGUGUGUUUGUUUGUGUCUUUCUGUUGUGCGUUCCUCGUAUGUCUGUCUCACGCUUUUCACGUGAUUUCCUUUUUCUCUUUUCUGUUGUUGCCACGUGUGUGUGAGUGGCCUGUGUGUACUCGACUCCAGGUGUGUCGCUGUUGAGUCUCUUUUCAUGUCUUAUCUUGUGUGUGUUUGUGUUUUGUUCCAGUCACGUUUGCAUUUCUGCACGUUUUGUGGCAUUUACGCGUGCAGGUCUCCCACGUUUUGGCCCGCGUGUUUGGUCGCACGCCUCGUGUCGCUGAUGGGUAGUCGUGUGAGCGCGAUUGUGUGUUUGUUUGUGUUUUUCUGUUGUGCGUUCCUCGUAUGUCUGUCUCACGCUUUUCACGUGAUUUCUUUUUCCUGUUUUCUUUUACCGUUCCUCUUGUAGAGACUCUCUCCAUGUCUAGUCUCUUUUCUGUUCCUUGUGUUAUUGUAGAGAUUUUUCCACUCUCUUUUCACGUCUUUCUACGUGUUAUCGUGUGUGUGUGGCCUUGUUUGGAGUGUGUGCGGCCACGAGGAGUGUGGCCUGUGUGUGUCGCUGCGGCAACAGCAUUUGUGUGUGCUUCGCGGUUCAUGUUUUGUCAUAUUGUGCGUCCUCGUUGUUCGUUUGUUUUGUGACUAACACGUUUUUGUAGACAAGACUUGGGGCUAGUUGACAUAACGUAAGCGCGGCGGCCGUCGUGUUGAACGUGUCGCAGUUACAAGAUCAUUAGACCACAUAGAUUAGUUGAGUUGCCCGUGUCUGGUAUGGGGGAUUCACAAAAGGGGACUUACUGAUCCACUUGGAUGCGAGAAGUACAGCGUGUUUUUGUUUUAUGUUGUCCUGUGUUAAAUCCACCAUUUUGAGUUCGCCUGAGUAAGAAGGGACAUGUGGUCCUGUUUGACCACAUGGGGGGGUGGUUGAAUACAUUUACAUAAGUUAGGACGCCAUUCCUCAUUGUUUAGUUUGUUAAUGUGCGUUUGACCCUUGUUUAACAUGUCCGCCAUUGACAGCAUUCAUUUGCUGCAGCUUUAAGAGGUGUGAGGGUUUUUGUUAGUGGGCGUUUGACAUGUCCGCCAUUGACGGAAUUCUUACAUUGCUGCAGGUUUUGUUUCGACGAGGUGUGAGAGGGUGCGUUUUGUAUUUUGUAUGCUGUUCAAUUUCACUGUAUUCACCCUAAUUUGCAUUUUCCCCAACUGCACCGCAUCCACAAUUAGACACAUAGUGUAGAAUAAAUUUUCUUUCAAUUUCUUUCGAAAAAUCGAGUUACGAUUUUUUGAAUGAUUUUGAUCUGAAAUUUUUUAGGAAUUUCUGUGCUCUACAUUUAUAUAUUAAGCCUCAGUACCUGAUCCCCUUAACAAGCAAGAAGUUGACUGCAGCAUGCAUCCACCUUGAGUUUUCUGAAUCAAAGGUUGUUUCAGAAAAAGGAGGGAUGGAAGAUGCAGAGACAGUUGUGGCUGGUACCGAGAUGUGGCAUUCGAGGAGUGACCAGGUCUGACUGACACAGCUUUGCAACCAAACACUUAACACAUUCAGAAACAAGCACCUACAUGAAGAAAUAUAUCUAGAGAACACAUUCACAUUCACACAGGAGCAGACUAUCGCCCAGGGAGGGGAUAGCAGAGUUAAGUUUUUCUUUGAGCAGGUUACCGGAGCCCACCAGGAGCCAGUGGACUAAGUCCAGGCGAAUGGGGUGCUCUGGAGUCAUUGCAAGGACCUCAGAGCGCCCUUGAUCUGUUCUAUGGUCUAUUGGUCUAUGUUCUACUUCCUGAUGGCGCCGCGGACGGCCGCCUCGGUGUGUUGGUGCGCGAUGUUUUUUGUUGUUUUCGUUUUAAAUACUGUUUUCUGCUGUGAUUCCCAGAGCUCUUUCACCAGAGAAGAGCUCAUGAACAUCAGGGGAACAACUCCAGCGGAUUUAUUUCCAACGUUUUUAACUUCUGUGGAGUUACUGGACAUUUUUGUAAAAGGUGUGCUCACCUUCGCCCACGCGGUGAAACGCCGGCGGAGAGGGAAACGCUCAGGGGCGCUUGUACGGCUACGGAAACGGGGAUCUCGUACAGCGCUGCCGGGCAUAUUUCUCUCCAACGUCCGCUCACUGUGCAACAAACUGGACGAACUCCAGCUGCUGGUGGGGAGAGACAGAGACUUCUCCUCAUCCUCCGCCCUGUGUUUCACGGAAUCAUGGCUUAGUGGAUCGAUACCAGAUUCUGCGCUCCAGCUCGCUGGCUCCCAGCUGUCCCGAGCGGACCGGGACACAGAGCUCUCCGGAAAAGCAAAGGGUGGAGGAAUCUGCUUUUACCUCAACAACGGCUGGUGCAACGACGUAACGGUGAUCCUACAGCACUGUUCGCCGGACCUGGAAUCUUUUAUCAUUCACUGCAAACCCUUCUACUCCCCACGUGAGUUCGCUUCAUUCAUCCUGGCCGGAGUUUACA